GACUGGACAACAAUGGGGAGGUGAGAUGCUGCUGCUGAUUUGGGAGUGGGCUUGGUCUAAUGGUGACUGAGCCUACCAGAAUUCUGAAACAGGUGAGGAAAUUGAGCAUUAAGAGAAUCGAACAACUUGCUUUUCUGUGUGGGAAGGGAAGUGGAGGCGUUUCAACUGCGUGACAAGUAACCCACUGAAUGGGUUGUCCUGUGCAUCCUCUGCAGAGAAGCAACGAAGAAUGACAGAGCGAGGUGAAAGCAGGGUCAUCUUUUCCACGAGGAGCAUCUGUUCUUCCUUUAGGGCCAGGGCUUUGUCAGUGGGUUGUGCCGACAGCAGUGAGGCAAGUCUUGGCCAUGGGCAGUGGCCUCAUUCACUUGUGCCCCUGUGUACAGGGUGGCAGCUGUUUGUGGCUUCCAGGGCCAGAACUCCUCUACACCCCCCCCCACCCGAAAACUCUCAGAGCCAUUGUAAGGUGAGAACAAGCAGGCCACCAUGAAGGUCUGCUGUGCGGUGGACAUUGAGUGGACAACCCCUCUUAGACAUCAAAGGAGAGCUUGGAACAGCCGAGGCUGACCCCUUCUAACAUCCCCUUUAGGCCACCUCCCACCUUGAUUGAGUUCUGGGCCUCAGGUCCUUGAUUGAGCUUCCCAUUCUUUCAUUGGUAAGCUUCUAAUUAGGCCAGUGUUCACCAGGAGAGCUGAAGGCAGAGGCUGAGAGUGGGGAGGACAGUCAAAGGAGAGUAUUUUGGCAGAUGCCCGGCUCUUGUCCUGCCUCUCUCAGGCAGCCUCAGGAGACCUGGGGUCAAGCACCUUCUGUUUUAGUUCUGGUCUCUGUGUCAGAAAUCAAUGUCAGGCAGUUGUCCUCCACACCUAGACCACUGCAGGCCCGUCAGCUAAGCUCUGCAUUCCUGGGGAGUGAGCCAUCAGAGGGCUCCUCAGGGUUGUGGGAAGGAUGUGAAGCCAGUUCUUCUAUCUUGCUUGCCUUCACUACUUAAAAUGCAUUUUCGCACAGCCUGAAAAGGAUCUGGUUGCUCCCUUCUCUGUGUCCAGUUGGUUGCAUCUGAUCUACUAGGUCAACAUAGCCUCUAGCAGGAAUCAAACUGUAUUCAGAAAGAGUUGUUGCUUAAAGAGAGACGGAGCGGUAGGAUCAGGUGCAGCAGGGAAGUGCACUGAGGAAGAGGCUUUCAUGUGGUGUGAUUCAAGGCCUUGCACAGGCCCUGAAAUUCCCACCAUCUUAACUCCAUGGUAUUGGCAUUCUAGCUUCCUGAAGGCAGCUCACACUGUAGCAUGGAUACUAUAUAUAUGUAAUGAUGAUUAUAAACAUCUUUAAGCACUUUAAGGUUUAAGAAAUGCAUUUAAAUCAUUGCAUUUCUUUGGGAUGGUCCCAGAUGAGUCAGACUUCAGCUGAAAUUGUGUUGGUGGUUCUGGAUAAAACUCACCAUCCCAGUGUUCCUCUCAAAGCUAUUGGGUUGGCCAAAAAGCUUGUUUGGGUUUUUCCAUAAGAUGUUACAGAAAAACCUGAACCAAUUUUUUGGCCAACAUAAUAUUUUCCUGAAUGGUUUGUUAGAAAAAGCCUAUCCGAAGAGAGCCUUUACUAUCAAGGUCUCUGAGAGGCAGGGUAGGGGACAUAGGCUGGGAUGCUAGGAAAAAUGUGAGCUGUCCCCAGCCUGACCCGCCAAACUCACCUCCCUGAUGGAAGAGAUCAGUGGUGCAAAGUCACUAAAAAGAGCUAUUUUUCUAGAGGGUAAGACCGGGAGCCCAAGCAGAGCUCUUUGGGAUCCAAAUGACUUACUUUGGCACAGAAAUGUGAAGGAGGGAGCUGUCAGCCUACUUGUUCUUGGAAUAUGGCACCACUGCAAAAAGUCAGCCAGAGGUAUAGGAACUGCAGCAUUCUUUGGCAGCUCAGUCUGAUGUUUUCAGUAGCUUGGGGAAGCAACCCCUAGCCCAGCCAGAAAGAAACAUUCUCACAUAGGUGGAAGGCAUUGUAAUAUGCUGGGAAGACAGGAGGAGCUGGCUUUGAGCAAAUAUGUGAUGCUUCAGAGACCCCUGAAGUGACUUUUUGAUGAUGGCCAUUCUGACUGGUGUGAGGUGAUACCUCUUUAUAGCUUU
Molecule: long non-coding RNA, 2099 nt
Organism: Odocoileus virginianus texanus
Lineage: Eukaryota; Metazoa; Chordata; Mammalia; Artiodactyla; Cervidae
Source: RefSeq, a predicted model, not a curated record